Non-coding RNA from Clostridiales bacterium 59_14, 76 nucleotides. Lineage: Bacteria; Bacillati; Bacillota; Clostridia; Eubacteriales. The record is from Rfam.
UUCAUAAACCGGCAAAGCAGUCGAAAGGCUGUGACGCAAAGCUAUAGGGCCUGUAAAAUGGCAGCCAGUUGCACCU